RNAcentral lists this long non-coding RNA (723 nucleotides) under Gallus gallus (chicken). RNAcentral's name for it is "lncRNA (ENSGALG00010016325.1)". The record is from RNAcentral. Lineage: Eukaryota; Metazoa; Chordata; Aves; Galliformes; Phasianidae.
AGUGGACAUCCCUGCUCCCUCUUAUCUGCUGGCAAGGCCCAGAAGAUGAUAACAAAGGAAUUUCUGCUGAGAUCCCAGAGCCAGUAUCUGCCACUCCAAGGAGAGCUGACUCAACCACUUUGGACUUAUAAAUAAGUUUGUACUGCCAUUGCAGUUGUCGUUCUCACCGUGGACACCGUUGUCAAGAGAACAACAACGCCCGACAACCCACCACUACUGAAGAUCAAUGACUGGACUACGAACCACGUUGGACCAUGGUGUGUAAGGGCAUAAUAUCUGACCAGGAAGAUCAGUUGGUUAUCCUACGUACAGAAUGAGUUCGCAUCUUGUGUCAUGGUUUUAUGAUUUUUGGUCAUCAGUAUUCCACAUCACAACAUCAUGCAGUGUACUGGGAGUUAAAGAGCAAAUGCUUUAGUUCCGGGUACCUGUCUGGAAGAGAAGAAGAACUACGUUCCGCAAGAGCCUUUUUGAGUACUGUUAUCAUUCCUGCUCAGGGGAACAGAUAUAAGGACGCAGGUCAUCUGACUCGUCCCUCUUCUUGUCUUGCCAUGUUCCCUGCCAGAUCAGCUCGCUACUGCUGCUACCUGACUGCACGCAAGGCUUCAGUAUUAGCGUAAGGCCUUUGGCUGUUGGACAAUCUUUCUCUCAAUUAUUGUUGUUUUAUAUUGUAUUAUAGUGUGUUAUCUUACAUUCCGAUACUAUAUUUAGUAAAUUAGUUUGUUU